AAAAUGGGUGGAACCCGUGAGUUUCCUCGGACAGGCUAAUGCUCUGAUGAGGAAAAACUUGUGUUACCAGAAACGCAAUUUAGGGAUGAUCUUGAAACUUCUGGCAUUCCCAAUCAUUAUGUGUUUGCUGCUUGCUCAAAUCCAGAGGAUGAUCAAUACAUUUACAACUAAGAUUGAUGGACUAUCACAGUGUCAAUGUGAUUGUUCCAACCCAGAG
Telopea speciosissima is the source of this 217-nucleotide long non-coding RNA. RefSeq lists it as uncharacterized. Lineage: Eukaryota; Viridiplantae; Streptophyta; Magnoliopsida; Proteales; Proteaceae. The transcript has 3 exons. The record is from RefSeq and is a predicted model, not a curated record.